UCGGGGAAAAGCAGACCCCCGGCGUAUUCGGAGCAUCUGAUGUUCCGACCAAGACGGUGUCCCGUCCAAGCCCUGC
RNAcentral lists this non-coding RNA (76 nucleotides) under unclassified sequences. Its description in RNAcentral is "chromate-resist RNA". It matches the Rfam family "chrB-b RNA". The record is from RNAcentral.